RNAcentral lists this ribosomal RNA (593 nucleotides) under uncultured bacterium. Its description in RNAcentral is "bacterial SSU rRNA". It matches the Rfam family "Bacterial small subunit ribosomal RNA", at positions 900 to 1504 of the family's 1533-position model. The record is from RNAcentral.
CUCAAAGGAAUUGACGGGGGCCCGCACAAGCGGUGGAGUAUGUGGUUUAAUUCGAUGAUACGCGAGGAACCUUACCAGGGCUUAAAUGCGGGCUGCAUGGGACAGAGACGUCCCUUUCUUCGGACCGCCCGCAAGGUGCUGCAUGGUUGUCGUCAGCUCGUGCCGUGAGGUGUCAGGUUAAGUCCUAUAACGAGCGCAACCCCUACCGUUAGUUGCCAGCAAGUAAAGUUGGGGACUCUAACGGGACUGCCGGUGCAAACCGUGAGGAAGGUGGGGACGACGUCAAAUCAUCACGGCCCUUACGUCCUGGGCCACACACGUGCUACAAUGGCCGGUACAGAGGGAAGCUACCCCGCAAGGGGGCGCGGAUCUACAAAGCCGGUCACAGUUCGGAUCGGGGUCUGCAACUCGACCCCGUGAAGCUGGAAUCGCUAGUAAUCGGAUAUCAGCCAUGAUCCGGUGAAUACGUUCCCGGGCCUUGUACACACCGCCCGUCAAGCCAUGGAAGCCGGGAGUGCCUGAAGUCCGUGACCGCAAGGAGCGGCCUAGGGCAAAAUCGGUAACUAGGGCUAAGUCGUAACAAGGUAACCGUA